RNAcentral lists this ribosomal RNA (253 nucleotides) under uncultured bacterium. Its description in RNAcentral is "partial 16S ribosomal RNA". It matches the Rfam family "Bacterial small subunit ribosomal RNA", at positions 524 to 776 of the family's 1533-position model. The record is from RNAcentral.
UACGGAGGGGGCUAGCGUUGUUCGGAAUUACUGGGCGCAAAGCGCGCGUAGGCGGACCUGCAAGUCGGGGGUGAAAGCCCGAGGCUCAACCUCGGAACUGCCUUCGAUACUGCGGGUCUCGAGUCCGGGAGAGGUGAGUGGAAUUCUUAGUGUAGAGGUGAAAUUCGUAGAUAUUAGGAAGAACACCAGUGGCGAAGGCGGCUCACUGGCCCGGUACUGACGCUGAGGCGCGAAAGCGUGGGGAGCAAACAGG